This 784-nucleotide long non-coding RNA is filed under the name Vulpes vulpes (red fox). RNAcentral describes it as "lncRNA (ENSVVUG00000004087.1)". The record is from RNAcentral. Lineage: Eukaryota; Metazoa; Chordata; Mammalia; Carnivora; Canidae.
CUUUCUUUAACUAAUUAGUUGUGGGUCAGUGGGCUCCAGCAUUUAUUUCUUCACGUGAUAGUUUUAGUCUUUCUCAAUCUACAGAAGUCACAUAGAGCUGAACUCACUGGCUCCAUCCUUAUGCACCUGCUGUAUAAUUGGUCACUUCUGUGUCAUCUAUAAAAUGCUUUCACCAUCCUGAGGGGGAGGAGGCCAGAGCUUCAGGGAGAUUCCACAGGACAAAGCCUGAGGUGUGAUAUUUUCCACUCACAUGACCCUCCGUCCUCUUGUCCUUCCUGCCGCAGAGCCCCUGCCCCUUCCCCAGAUCAGGACCACGAAUCUGUCCAUCACCCCAGGCUGGUGCAACGUCACUGUGCAGUGUGACACCCCGGGAACCAGGGAGGACCUGAUCAUGUCCUGGGAGAGCAGGGGACUCCCCUGGGAGCUGGAACAACGAGAGGCCGCAGGACCAGCCCACAGCCCCUGGACCCUGGCUCUGAGCCUGCCCCUGAGCCAGCCCAACGCCAGCCUCACCUGUGUGCUCAGGAACCAGGUGGACCAGAAAACUGCAACCUUGGACCUUGGGGACAUCUGUGGCCACGAUCCACAGGGACAGGCUGAUGCCUCCCAACUACCCAGCAUCCUGGGGACUGUUGUGGUCCUGCUGCUGAUCCUGGGAGCUGGACUGUUCCUCUGGAGGACACGAGUGAAGAAGAGCCUGGAGCCUGGGAGAGGCAGGUUGCACUUCUCCUCCCCGGGCCCACACACCUCCCUCCCCUGGACCCUGGACUCCCUUCCUCCUGCC